RNAcentral lists this ribosomal RNA (669 nucleotides) under Triticum aestivum (bread wheat). Its description in RNAcentral is "partial small subunit ribosomal RNA". The record is from RNAcentral. Lineage: Eukaryota; Viridiplantae; Streptophyta; Magnoliopsida; Poales; Poaceae.
AUGAUGAUCGUGGACUUGGGCUGCUCCACUGGUCCAAAUGCGCUUGCAUUGGUAUCGAUCACCGUUGAGGCGAUCCACGCUAAUUGUCUUCAGUUCCAGCAACCACCACCGGAAGUGUGUGUGCUCCUCAACGAUCUCCCCGAGAACGACUUCAACACGGUGGUGAAGAGCCUGGUCACGCUCCGUCAAAGCAGCGAUCCUGUUGCCGUGACCGGUAUCACACCAGGCUCGUUUUACGAGCGGCUCUUCACCAGUGAAUCCUUGCAUCUUGUUUGCUCGUCCAAUAGCUUGCAUUGGCUCUCAAAGGCUCCAGAAGAUCUAACAAAAAAUCUCAUCCCAGCAUAUGACAUUGAUGAGCAUUCUAGGCAUGAAAGGCUCUUCCCAUGCAAAGAGCUGAGGGAAAUCAUCCAAGAAGAGGGCUCCUUUUCAAUCAGGGAGAUGCGGGCACAUGACCCUAGAACCGAUAUGAACAAUGCUCUCAGCACCCCAGGCAGGUUCACGAGAUUUCUUAGAGCUUUGUUUGAGCCGGUAUUGGUCCAACAUUUUGGAGAUGUCAUGGAUGAAUUCGUGAAGACCACGGAGCGGCGGUGGGUCCUAGAGGGAAGCUUGCAAGAGGAGAGGGCUAGAUGUCCUUAUGCUAUGCUGGUUGUAUCCCUUGCAAAGGCAUGA